This 517-nucleotide ribosomal RNA is filed under the name uncultured bacterium. RNAcentral's name for it is "bacterial SSU rRNA". It matches the Rfam family "Bacterial small subunit ribosomal RNA", at positions 8 to 518 of the family's 1533-position model. The record is from RNAcentral.
AGAGUUUGAUUCUGGCUCAGGAUGAACGCUAGCUACAGGCUUAACACAUGCAAGUCGAGGGGCAGCAUUGGGGUAGCAAUACUCAGAUGGCGACCGGCGCACGGGUGAGUAACACGUAUCCAACCUGCCGCUUACUCGGGGAUAGCCUUUCGAAAGAAAGAUUAAUACCCGAUGGUAUAAAGAGUUCGCAUGUUCUCUUUAUUAAAGAAUUUCGGUAAGCGAUGGGGAUGCGUUCCAUUAGAUAGUUGGCGGGGUAACGGCCCACCAAGUCUACGAUGGAUAGGGGUUCUGAGAGGAAGGUCCCCCACAUUGGAACUGAGACACGGUCCAAACUCCUACGGGAGGCAGCAGUGAGGAAUAUUGGUCAAUGGACGAGAGUCUGAACCAGCCAAGUAGCGUGAAGGAUGACUGCCCUAUGGGUUGUAAACUUCUUUUAUAAGGGAAUGAAGUGAGGGACGUGUCCCUUUUUGUAUGUACCUUAUGAAUAAGGAUCGGCUAACUCCGUGCCAGCAGCCGC